Molecule: ribosomal RNA, 715 nt
Filed under: Lacticaseibacillus casei
Lineage: Bacteria; Bacillati; Bacillota; Bacilli; Lactobacillales; Lactobacillaceae
Description: bacterial LSU rRNA
Rfam family: Bacterial large subunit ribosomal RNA
Source: RNAcentral
GUACCGUGAGGGAAAGGUGAAAAGCACCCCGGAAGGGGAGUGAAACAGUUCCUGAAACCGUGUGCCUACAAUUAGUCAAAGCCCGUUAAUGGGUAAUGGCGUGCCUUUUGUAGAAUGAACCGGCGAGUUACGUUUGCUUGCGAGGUUAAGAUGAAAAGUCGGAGCCGUAGCGAAAGCGAGUCUGAACAGGGCGAAUGAGUAAGCAGAUGUAGACCCGAAACCAAGUGACCUACCCAUGACCAGGUUGAAGGUGUGGUGAAACACACUGGAGGACCGAACCCAUGUAUGUUGAAAAAUGCUGGGAUGAGUUGUGGGUAGCGGUGAAAUUCCAAACGAACUUGGAGAUAGCUGGUUCUCUCCGAAAUAGCUUUAGGGUUAGCCUCGGAGGAUGGAUCAUGGAGGUAGAGCACUGUUUGAACUAGGGGCCCAUCAAGGGUUACUGAAUUCAGAUAAACUCCGAAUACCAUCGAUCUUACUCCGGGAGUCAGACAGUGAGCGAUAAGGUCCAUUGUCGAAAGGGGAACAGCCCAGAUCACCAGUUAAGGUCCCUAAAUUUAUGCUAAGUGGAAAAGGAUGUGGCGUUGCACAGACAACUAGGAUGUUGGCUCAGAAGCAGCCACCAUUUAAAGAGUGCGUAAUAGCUCACUAGUCGAGUGGCACUGCGCCGAAAAUAUACCGGGGCUAAGCAUAAUACCGAAACUGUGGGUGCACCCGU